Molecule: ribosomal RNA, 301 nt
Filed under: uncultured bacterium
Lineage: Bacteria
Description: partial 16S ribosomal RNA
Rfam family: Bacterial small subunit ribosomal RNA
Source: RNAcentral
CAGUAGCCGCGGGAAUACAGAGGGUGCGAGCGUUAAUCGGAUUUACUGGGCGUAAAGCGUGCGUAGGCGGCUUUUUAAGUCUGCUGUGAAAGCCCUGGGCUCAACCUGGGAAUUGCAGUGGAUACUGGGCAACUAGAGUAAGGUAGAGGAUAGUGGAAUUUCCGGUGUAGCAGUGAAAUGCGUAGAGAUCGGAAGGAACAUCUGUGGCGAAGGCGACUAUCUGGGCCAUUACUGACACUGAGGCACGAAAGCGUGGGGAGCAAACAGGAUUAGAUACCCCUGUAGUCCCUGUCUCUUAUAC